This is a non-coding RNA of Cricetulus griseus (Chinese hamster), 1396 nucleotides long. NCBI's taxonomy places the organism in Eukaryota, Metazoa, Chordata, Mammalia, Rodentia, Cricetidae. The record is from RefSeq and is a predicted model, not a curated record.
AGGAAAUCAGAUUUGAACAAGGAAGCUACAUUGUCCAAUAGAUUUUGAGUAGGUUUAAGCAUCGCUACAGUUGGGGUCUUGAAUGGCUUGGUGCCUGCUCUACAAUGUAUUGUCAGGUUGGACAGAAUUGACAGCUUGACAACGAUGAGUCUUCCUAUCAACUGUUGGCAUUUAUAAAAACAGCAUUCCUAGAAGAUAAACAAACAAACAAAUCAAAACAGAUGAGCGAAGACAUGUUUGCUUCAUUGCUGAUGUGAUGGGGAACAUCCAGCUCCUUAACAGUAAAUAUAUUACUUGUAAGGUUUAUAUGUGUAUUAUUUCCACUAAAGAAAGAGUCACUUGUAGUUAGAGUUUUAAGGACCCACGGUGAGCUAUUGGGGGUUUCCAAAGGCCUUUUUUAUGUUGAUAAGUUACUUUUUUUUAAAAAAAGAACUCUGCAACAUUGACAAGAUAGAGCUUAUCUUUUAGUUAUAAAAAAAUCUAACAAACAUAAAAGGAUAGAAGUCAGGUAAUCAUAAGAAUUAGGAAAAUGGCCAAAAUAUAACUGAAAUAUCUGCAAGCACUAAGAAAUUUAAUUAAGAAAUUAAAAAGCAAUGAAAAAUUAGUAAUAGAACUAGCAAACAUCUGGAGUGAGAUAACAUCUAAGACUUAGUGUAUUACAGUCCAUCGGUGCUGCUAAGACUCUGACAUUUUAAAAAACUGAAUUAUUUCUUUAGCUAAAAUAUUUUCAAUUUAUCCUUUUUCUUCCCUCCAAUGCUCCCUUGCAUGCCCCCUCUCACUCCCUCUGAAAUGGAUGACCUCUUUUUCUUUGAUGACUAUUGUUAUAUACAUACACAUACAUAAGUGCAUAAAUGUGUAAAUACAGCCUGUUGUAUCUGUUUAGUAUUGAUUGUAUUUAUAUGACUUCAGUGCUGACCAUUUGCUAAUGGAUAACCAAUUAGAUGGCUCAUUCCUAGGAGAGACUAUAUCUCCCUCUCUCAGAAGGUUUUAGUUGCCUGUAGCUCUUUGGCUAAGGGGUGGGUCCCUGUAAGAGUUCCCUCUUCCACAUUAACAAAUCUUUUGGUAUUGUUAUUGUUCAGGUCUUAUUUAGGCAUCCAUAUUGUUGAAGCAUCAUAUGCAUUGCUUGAUCAUUUCUUGGAGAUACAAUAUCACAACAGACUUCCCGGUACCCUGGCUCUUGUAGUCUUUCUACCUCAUCUUCCAAGAUAUUCCCUGAACUAUCAGUGCACCAACUGUGUUGUAGAUGUGUCUGAGGCUGGAUGCCUCACAAUCAGCUUCUCUCUGUAUUUUGAUCUUUUGUGGUUUUCUGUUAUGGUGUCUAUCUAAUUCAAAGAGAAAUUUCUUUGAUGAGGGUUGAGAGCUAUCCUUACCUGUGGUUGACAUGUUUUACAAAGCA